Molecule: ribosomal RNA, 495 nt
Filed under: uncultured bacterium
Lineage: Bacteria
Description: bacterial SSU rRNA
Rfam family: Bacterial small subunit ribosomal RNA
Source: RNAcentral
AGAGUUUGAUCCUGGCUUAGGAUGAACGCUGGCGGCGUGCCUAACACAUUCAAGUCGAACGAAUGAAUACCUUCGGGUGUUCAUUAGUGGCGGACGGGUGAGUAACGCGUGAGCAACCUGCCCCUGUGAGUGGAAUAACGUCUGGAAACGGACGCUAAUACCGCAUAAUACAUGAUUGUCACAUGGCGAUCAUGUCAAAGAUUUAUCGCACAGGGAUGGGCUCGCGUUGGAUUAGUUAGUUGGUGAGGUAAUGGCUCACCAAGACCGCGAUCCAUAGCCGGACUGAGAGGUUGAACGGCCACAUUGGAACUGAGAAACGGUCCAGACUCCUACGGGAGGCAGCAGUGGGGAAUAUUGGGCAAUGGGCGAAAGCCUGAACCCCAGCGACGCCGCGUGAGGGAAGAAGGUCUUCGGAUUGUAAACCUCUGUUGAUAGGGACGAAAAAAUGACGGUACCUAUCGAGGAAGCCACGGCUAACUACGUGCCAGCAGCUGC